UGCUACUCGUCAUGAGAAUGGAAAAAAUGGAAAUUGCAGCAGGGUAAGCCUGACGAGCAGAGGUAAAUAGUCCAGUGUGCUGUGGAUGAUCCGGCAACUCGAGUCUAGUAGUGGCUUAUAGAGAGACUGUAGCUGCUAUUUUGCUGUGAUGAAUGUAAGAUGUUUGGAGCAGUGAGCUCAUGAUGCUGAACCUGAAUGUAACUCACAGCCUCACAGGCACCAAAAUGCUGAACAUUUCUGUUCUUUUGCAAUGCAACAGAAC
RNAcentral lists this long non-coding RNA (262 nucleotides) under Setaria italica (foxtail millet). RNAcentral describes it as "long non-coding RNA (SITA_LNC004017)". Lineage: Eukaryota; Viridiplantae; Streptophyta; Magnoliopsida; Poales; Poaceae. The record is from RNAcentral.